GCUGUGAUGCUGGGCCAGGCGAGGUUUGCUGGAACCCUUUGCCUCUGGUUGCAGAUUCACUUCGUCACCGAGCAGAGGACGAGACUCUCCCUGCGAGCGGCUUCCCCCCGGCACCUAGCCAGGAGGUGCUGAAUGAGGGCCCGGAGCCCUGGGGCCAGCCAGAGCAAAGGCCCCGUGAGGAGCCCCCCGCUGAGUCCAGUUCAUCCUCAGAGGACAACUACUACAACAGCAGCACCACCAAGCAGCAACAGUGGGGCAACCCGGCCCCUCCUCCCACCGGCAGCCUCUUAAUGCCAGCGCCUCCUGCCCACAGCAAUGGUGGCUCCCAGCUCUCCUUCCAAGGGCCCGAUGGAGCAGACAGCUCCAGCACCUCAUCCGGAGAAUGGUAUGAAAACUUCCACAGCACAGCGCACCAGGGAGACCAGCCGGGAAACAUGCCGGAGUGGCCGGCUCUCUCCCAGCCGUUGGGGAGCUGUGAGCCUGGGAGCAACGACUCGGAGGGCAGCGAUUACGAUGAUGUCCAAGGCCUGGCAUACUAGGAAAGGGACAUCACUGCAAGUCUGUGCCUCCAGCCCUCCCUCCUGCCUUCAAUACAGUGACAGCAAAUCAGUGGGUGAUAACUGAACCUCACAUCCCUGCACUGAAUGUGUUUGAUUAGCACAAGGUCAGGCUUGGGGGGAAGGUUUGUCAGCGGGUCCCAGAACCAGGCCUGGACUGACCAGCAUUUCCCAGUGCAGACCCUGUGGCUCCAGAAGGGGCUGCACUCCUCUACCAACUGACAGCUCUGACCCUGAGAAAUCCACGGAGUCCUUCCCAAGAACAUCCCCUUCCCAGCCCACAUUCUCUGCUGAUGCCCAGCUAGCCCUGGUCACUCAGGCCGUAAGUGAACCCCUGGUGUCUGGGGAGUGUCCGGGACUCCAUCCUCAGUGCUCAGGACACAGGCCAAGCUCUCCAGGAUGGCUGCCAGGGUCAUGGGCUCUAUUCCCAGCCGGGAAAGGUGCUUGGACACACGGUGAUGGGCGCAGCACAGAGACCUAUCUGGAGCCCUAGGGAUGAUAAGGUGGAGGUCAGAAGUCGUAGGGGAGCAGCCAGACUUCUUGGCUCCCUUUCGGACAGUGACUUAUGGGGCUGGGUUCAAUCCUUGGUAUGUAGAUUCCCCAUGGCAAUAACCAGUCCCCAGUGAUUAACCUGCAGACAGGAACUGGGGUGCUCAGAUUCAAUGCACAGGGGGUAGCUCCCCCCCCAGGCCUCUGGCUUCAUCCCCACUGGGCAGAAGCAGCUAGGAAGGGAUGUUCCAUAGCUGGGUUCCAGCAAUGACUCUUUCCUGUCGGGGGAGACUGUACAUCACAGGCCAAGCAGCCUAUGAGAUCCAAGCCCCUGGCUUUGAGUGGAAGGUCAGCCUGUGGUUGAGGCAGUGCCUGACACUCAAGAAAGCUGGGUUCAUAGAAUCAUAGAAUAUCAGGGUUGGAAGGGACCUCAAGAGGUCAUCUAGUCCAACCCCCUGCUCAAAGCAGGACCAAUUCCCAAUUAAAUCAUCCCAGCCAGGGCUUUGUCAAGCCGGGCCUUAAAAACCUCCAAGGAAGGAGACUCCACCACCUCCCUAGAUAACGCAUUCCAGUGCUUC
This is a long non-coding RNA of Chrysemys picta bellii (western painted turtle), 1624 nucleotides long. Lineage: Eukaryota; Metazoa; Chordata; Testudines; Emydidae. The record is from Ensembl.